This is an RNA transcript of Apodemus sylvaticus (European woodmouse), 912 nucleotides long. It is a transcript of the gene named prefoldin subunit 1, with no coding region annotated. The record is from RefSeq and is a predicted model, not a curated record. The transcript is spliced from 5 exons. NCBI's taxonomy places the organism in Eukaryota, Metazoa, Chordata, Mammalia, Rodentia, Muridae.
GCCUCUAGCGCAGGCGCAUAGAGUGCUCCAAUAUGGCCGCCUCCGUGGAUCUGGAGUUGAAGAAGGCCUUCACAGAACUUCAAGCCAAAGUCAUUGAUACUCAACAGAAGGUGAAGCUUGCAGACAUACAGAUUGAACAGCUGAACAGAACGAAAAAGCACGCACACCUCACGGACACAGAGAUCAUGACGCUGGUAGAUGAGACUAACAUGUAUGAAGGCGUAGGGAGAAUGUUUAUUCUACAGUCCAAGGAAGUAAUUCAUAACCAGCUGUUAGAAAAACAGAAAAUAGCAGAAGAAAAAAUUAAAGAGCUAGAGGAGCAGCGUCCAUCGGCUUCUCCACAGGAAACCACACUGUGUCUGCUUACUGAACAAGUGAUGAGCUCCUGUCCUUCAGCACAGCAGCUUCCAAAGGUGGUCCUGACAUAGCUUCUAGAAGAUGCAGAUACUGUACCCGGUCGCUUGCUUGCCCUGAGCUUGUACUUCUGCAGUCACCCUUGGUCCUGGCAUCUUCAGUGGGAGUCACAGAUGCAGAAAAAGUCCUACCUGGAGCGGAGCGUUAAGGAAGCUGAGGACAACAUCCGCGAGAUGCUGAUGGCUCGGAGGGCACAGUAGGAGCUGCUGGGAAACUACUUCCCUUCUGAUCCCUCCCACGCUGUCAAGGCAGGGGCUGUGCAGGGUGCUGCCCUCCCUCUGCCCAGCGGCCCCCUCUCUCCAUCACCGAACCCCUCAGGUUCCAACCGAAUGUCUGCCAACCCCUGUCCAUGACACUCUUCUUUCCUGGGGCAAACCAGGAGCUCUCAACAAAGGGAAGACUGGAGGGCAGACGGAGAAAGCUGUCCAGUUGGGCCUGUCACUAGGCAUGUGGGUUAGACCAGGUUAGACCAAUAAAAAGCUAUGUCUUACUCUAUAA